Molecule: non-coding RNA, 598 nt
Organism: Trichechus manatus latirostris (Florida manatee)
Lineage: Eukaryota; Metazoa; Chordata; Mammalia; Sirenia; Trichechidae
Source: the annotation of a RefSeq genome assembly
AUCUUACUUCCUGUUUGAGGGAGUAGCAUCAGAACCCAAGAACUUCGUGUAUACACUGUACAGCACUCAGAUACUGAGUUCUGAGCUUGAAGCAGAACAAAACAUAUUUGUGUAGAGGAAUACAUGCCACAUGCCACUCUCCAGCCUACUGUGGGUGUUGAUGGCCUUCAUCUACUCUGGAUCCAUUGUGGCCCAGAAAGUUACUCAAGUCAAGUCAGCUACAUCCACGCAAGAGGGGGAGGCCGUCACUCUGGACUGUCUGUACGAAACAAGUGCGACAGUAUACUACAUUUUCUGGUACAAGCAACUUCCCAGUGGCAAGAUCAUUUUCCUUAUUCAUCAGAGUUCUUCUAGCCAGAACGCAGAAGAAGGUCGCUACUCUAUAAACUUCCAAAAAGAAGAUAAAUUUAUCAGCCUCAUUAUUUCAACCUUACAGAUGGAAGAUUCAGCAAAGUACUUCUGUGCUCUCUGGGAGCUCACAGUGUUUGAAGUGAUAGUGAAAGCUGAGCAAAAACCUCAGAGCUCAAUAACAGAGAGCACCCUGCUACAGGGUCUGAGCUGCAACACAUACCUGCAGAUCCCAGACAAGAAAUUGUAG